Molecule: ribosomal RNA, 465 nt
Filed under: Vreelandella stevensii
Lineage: Bacteria; Pseudomonadati; Pseudomonadota; Gammaproteobacteria; Oceanospirillales; Halomonadaceae
Description: partial 16S ribosomal RNA
Rfam family: Bacterial small subunit ribosomal RNA
Source: RNAcentral
CCUACGGGGGGCUGCAGUGGGGAAUAUUGGACAAUGGGGGCAACCCUGAUCCAGCCAUGCCGCGUGUGUGAAGAAGGCCCUCGGGUUGUAAAGCACUUUCAGUGAGGAAGAACGCCUGGUGGUUAAUACCCAUCAGGAAAGACAUCACUCACAGAAGAAGCACCGGCUAACUCCGUGCCAGCAGCCGCGGUAAUACGGAGGGUGCGAGCGUUAAUCGGAAUUACUGAGCGUAAAGCGCGCGUAGGUGGCUUGAUAAGCCGGUUGUGAAAGCCCCGGGCUCAACCUGGGAACGGCAUCCGGAACUGUCAAGCUAGAGUGCAGGAGAGGAAGGUAGAAUUCCCGGUGUAGCGGUGAAAUGCGUAGAGAUCGGGAGGAAUAACAGUGGCGAAGGCGGCCUUCUGGACUGACACUGACACUGAGGUGCGAAAGCGUGGGUAGCAAACAGGAUUAGAUACCCCAGUAGUC